AAAAAAAAAAAAAAAACAACAACGUCGCCAUUUCCAAUCCCCUCUUCCUAGUUCCUACUACUUCUUCACCAUUUUUCAAAUUUUUUGUCAACAAUUUCUGCAACAAGGUAAUUGCUACAUUCAAUGAAAUAAUUGGCUGAAUUCAAAUUUGAUUGAUUACUUCUUUUAAAUUUUUUUAUAGUUUUCUCCAAAUUUCAUAUUUCCCUUAAUUGGGUUUUAAGUUCAUUUGAGUUUCACCAUUUUCAUGUUUUUUUUUUCUUCUUCUUCUUCUAUACAUUACAGGUUGAGUUUCAUGUUGUCUUUAGUUAGAAUACUUAAUUGCCCAUCUAUCUAAAUAUUGUCGAUUCUGCUGCGAUACAUCUCUUUUGGCUUGCAAGCCACCUAGCGCGGUUUAAGGUGCAUCUUCUCACUUUUUUGCUUUACAUGUGGCCAUUCUUUUUCUUUUUGUUAGAUUGAGUGAAAUUGGUAUGAUCUGAAGAUAAAUCUAUGAUUACUGAUAGGAUCUGUGUUGUCUCUCUUCAUACACUCAAAACAAACACCCUCACUCUAUCCCAUAAAAUUCUAACCAUCAAGUGUUCGGGGGUAAAUUCUUGGAGCGGUAUUAUAGAAAAGAAAAAUGAGUCAUACCUGAACCAAAUUUGGCAUCUUCUCAUAGGUUGAGGAAAUUAAUUCGAAUCGAAACCAAACAAAGUACUGAGUAGACACAGUACCAAAAUAAAGAAAUUCCAUUCUUAGCACUGAUUAUAUAUGUUUGUAUAAGUAGGUCAUGUCACACUAAAGUCUGAAAUAGUUAUCAAAUUACAAACAACAACCAAACUCGAGAUUUGAAUAGAAUGAUUGAAUGUAUGGGAGUUUAUGUUGGAUCAAGGUAUAUGUUUGGGUAAGAAUCGAAAAUAAUAAGGUGAACUACGUAAGGCUUUUGUUUCAGUUUGUAUCCAUUAAAUCAUUUAAUUGUUAGCGGGUUGAGUUAUGUCUGCGAUGCUGUUUUUGAUUGGUUAUAUGUUUAAAUUUCUUAAUGUUUAGUUCAUGAGCAAUCAAUUCAACUACUUUUCUGUUUUCAGAUUAUUAUUAAGUUCUAUUUUUGUUUGAAUUCCUUUCAGAGUCUUCAUCAUUUCUUUAUUUUCUAAUAAAAUUACAAUGAUGAUACAUUGAUACAGGUUGCUAUAAGUACUUCGUCAAAGAUCUGUCACCAUCUCAUCUAAUCAUACUUGGCAUGUCCAUGCAUCCUAGACUGUUGAAUGAAUGACAACACCAGCUGCAAAUUCUGACCAAAAUUUUCUCAAGGUAUCUUAAUAAUAGGCUUACACCACCUGUCUGAAAUUUCUUUAUAACGAAAAAUCAGAAAAUUUUUAGUAGAAUAAAAAAAGGUAUGGUAGGAACCAGCAAGUACAAAUAAACUGAUUAUACAGUAGAAUUGUUCUGGUGUUAUUUUACAAAUUAGAUUGGCUAACCUGUUGGUUUGGAACUCUUUCUUCUAUGUACUUUAGUUUUUACAAAUCAACUAUAGCCAUUGACAACCAUCGACUUUGGCCAUUCACUAUGGAUUUUCUACCUGAUCUUAGGCCCCAAUUAUGUUUACUUUGUGGUUGUUAUCUGCCUUAAAUUAUCAAGAGUUUUAACACAACACAACUUCUCUAGAUCUACCAGAUUAGUUGAUAUCACUCUAUCUAACAACUCUUUCCAACAUUGAUUCGACAUGACUGAAGUUAAUUUCGUAAAUGUAUAAGUGGACCUAAUUCGUAUUAAUCUUAUUCUUUUGAAUCAUAUUGGCUGCUAAAAUUAGGUGGUGCCAACUCAAAUAUCAUAUAAUUCUGUAGUGGUGCUCAAUCAGUCUAUUCCAAAUAACAAUGGGAAUUUAAUGUCCUUUCCCAUCUCAUAAACCAUUGUGUUAUUUACUUCCUAAUUAGUUGUUAUUGAUUAAUGAAAUUUUGAUUCACAUGUAGGAAUCCAAAGGAAGUUGAAGAUGACAUAUUCAAUGGGAGAGAUCUGUUAUUUAAUUUUCAAUCCUCCAAAUCUGACAACAGUUGAAUCGAUUGACAAAACACCAACAUGUGGAACAUAUACACGAAUUACAGGCAAGGUGAGCGUCUUCCCUCUUGUCUAUUUUUUCUGUUCAUAAGGAUUAUUGAGAUUAGACAAUUUAGUACUGGUGCGCUAAUCUAUAUGAACUAAUUUUUGUUGAGAAGUAUUGGUGUAGAAAAUGAUUAAGUUGAUUACUUAGGAAACCAACCCCAAAGAAACAUUAUUCUACUUAGAAGAGAAAGGUUUUUUUUUUUUUUGUUUGUUUGUUUGUUUGUUUGUUUGUUAAGUUAUGUCAGAAGUAAGAAAGAUAGUUGCUUUAGUGUAUAUGAAUAGGGAGUAAUGUACAUGGUAACAUAUACGUAUGUUGGAUUGAAUUGGAAGUUGAAAGUUUAAACCAAAAAAUGGUAAAUCGUAGCAGAGAUUAUAGUUACCAAAUAACAACUGAUAAGCCUCAGAUUAUAUUGUUAUUUUCUUAAACAUAACCACUUUCGUCAUAGAUUUGGAAUGAAACAUUCAUCAUGCUGACAUAGAAAAGGUUUUGUACUACCUGACAUAGAAAAGGGUUUGCACUUCAUAACUUGAUCACAACUGAAAGCCAUAUACCAAAGAUGAUCAUAUAUAUAAUAUAGUAUUGCUACAUGGACCUUUUAAUUGGAUGUUUUUUAAUUUUCUCUUCUUUUCGGCUUGGCCAUUCAAUUAGAGACCUAGACUUGGACAUUCAUCGCAGACCAUUUUCGAUUACACAAUGAGAUCCACUUAAUAUUUAGGAAUGAACUCCAUCUAACAUCCUUAAAGAUUUAAAGACAAUUUUGGUUUAAUCAUAACUAAAAAUUUCAAAACCCAUUUUUAGAAGAAGUACAGUUUGGUAGGUUUUUAUUUGGUGCUACCAAAAAUUGUAAUCAUAACCCUGACCCUCAGAAAAUUGAAAUCGAAUGAAGAAGAUGAGAUCUCACAUAACGGACUGUUCCUUAAUAGUGACCCUAGGUUGAAGAACCUCCUGAUCUGAAUAUGUUUGAGAAAUACAAUUAAAUGAUAAUUGAAAGUACAUUUUUGGCAGGUUUUUUAGUUUGUGCUACCAUAAAUUGUAAUCACAACCUUGAGCCUCAGAAAAUUGAAAUCGAAAGUAUAAGAUGGGAUCUCACAGAAUGGACUGCUCCUUAUUAGUGACCCUAGACUGGAGGUGAGAUACCGGUUUGGAUUUUCGUUUGUGUAUUUUGUAGGUGAUUGUUAUUUUAUGAGGAGUAAUUAAUAAAUAAUUGAUAUUUGUUUUGUCAAUGAGUGGAUACAUUUUGAGUCUAUGAACAACCAUUCAAAGAUAAAUUUAGAAGAUUUCCACAAUUAGUAAGAUGAAAUCGUAGUUCUUCAUAGUCUAUUUCCCCUUUUUCCUACUUCUUCUAAAGUUACUAUCUAGAAAAAAAAAAAAGGUUUAUAGGAACCUAAAUAGAGUCUCGGUGCCACACUUGAAAAAACUAACAUGACCUUGCAUUCAUCACUCGCGUACUACUUUCAUAAUUACGUAUGGUCAUGACUUUAUAAAGGUACAAACUCAACUUUCUUAUAAUGAAACAGUGAAUACUGUAGGUUUGAUCUGGAGAGUGAAGAUGACAGUUUGGGAGUGGCUGGAUAGUACGAACUACGUACAAAGAUGGAGCUGAAUUGAAAAACAAUUGUCGGGAAAAUAAAAUCACUGAAGAUAUACAAGGAUUGUGGACGACUGUAUGGGGGAGCAGCAGUGCAGAAGCUGCUCAACUAGGUUUGAAGAUGAAAAUGGGUUGGUAGAUGUGUACAGAACUAUACAAGACUGACUGCUUUAUUGUAGUUUAGGUUUAUGUAUAGUUUUGCUUAAUCUGACCUGGCGGUGCCUAGGCACGCUGAUCAGGUGUAAGGGUUUUUUUUGAGAUCAUUAAUAAUGUUACCUUUGCCAGAAAAAAAAAACAAUAAUCUUAGGUGUUGUUACAAUAUUUGCAUCUUUUGAUUCAAACUGAUUUGUCCUUGAAGUCAUUUUCUAAACAACACAUGCCAUAUAGAGAAAGUUUCAGUAA
RNAcentral lists this long non-coding RNA (4064 nucleotides) under Aquilegia coerulea. RNAcentral's name for it is "long non-coding RNA (ACOE_LNC001712)". Lineage: Eukaryota; Viridiplantae; Streptophyta; Magnoliopsida; Ranunculales; Ranunculaceae. The record is from RNAcentral.